This 501-nucleotide ribosomal RNA is filed under the name Campanulotes flavus. RNAcentral's name for it is "partial 16S ribosomal RNA". It matches the Rfam family "Bacterial large subunit ribosomal RNA", at positions 1831 to 2595 of the family's 2925-position model. The record is from RNAcentral. Lineage: Eukaryota; Metazoa; Arthropoda; Insecta; Psocodea; Philopteridae.
GCCUCAACUAAAUUAUUUGAGGUAUUGCCUGCUCAAUGCGAGAGUAAAUAGCCGCAGUAUUCUGACUGUGCAAAGGUAGCAUAAUAAGUUGGUCUUUAAUUGAGAUCUAGAAUGAAUGGCAAGACGAGGAUUUAUCUGUCUCAAAUCAAAAGUUUUUGAAAUUGAAUUGUUUGUUAAAAUGCAAAUAUGUGUGAGAGGGACGAGAAGACCCUAUAGAUCUUUAAUGAAUUAUCUGUUUAUUUUAAGGUUUACAGGUAAUUCUUUUUAUUUGGGGAAAAUCCUGAAAUAAUAAAACUUCGGUUAAAAAGGAAAAAAAUUGAAAUUAUUAAUUUUUGAUCCACUAGAAAGAAUGUGAAAAAAUGAAAAAGUUACCUUAGGGAUAACAGGACAAUGAUCUUUUUAGAGGUCUUAUCUAAAGGGACGUUUGUUACCUCGAUGUUGAAUUAAGUUAUCUAAUUAAAGAAGAAAUUUUUAUAGUUGGUCUGUUCGACCAUUGAAAAC